UACGGGGGGAGCAAGCGUUGUUCGGAUUUACUGGGCGUAAAGGGCGCGUAGGCGGUCGUGACAAGUCACUUGUGAAAUCUCCGGGCUUAACUCGGAACGGUCAAGUGAUACUGUCGGACUAGAGUACAGAAGGGGCAACUGGAAUUCUCGGUGUAGCGGUGAAAUGCGUAGAUAUCAGGAGGAACACCAAUAGCGAAGGCAGCUCGCUGGGACGGUACUGACGCUAAGGCGCGAAAGCGUGGGGAGCGAACAGG
Molecule: ribosomal RNA, 254 nt
Filed under: uncultured bacterium
Lineage: Bacteria
Description: partial 16S ribosomal RNA
Rfam family: Bacterial small subunit ribosomal RNA
Source: RNAcentral